RNAcentral lists this ribosomal RNA (253 nucleotides) under uncultured bacterium. Its description in RNAcentral is "partial 16S ribosomal RNA". It matches the Rfam family "Bacterial small subunit ribosomal RNA", at positions 524 to 776 of the family's 1533-position model. The record is from RNAcentral.
UACGAAGGGGGCUAGCGUUGCUCGGAAUUACUGGGCGUAAAGCGCACGUAGGCGGAUUGUUAAGUCGGAGGUGAAAUCCUGGAGCUCAACUCCAGAACUGCCUUCGAAACUGGCGAUCUUGAGUUCGGGAGAGGUGAGUGGAACUGCGAGUGUAGAGGUGAAAUUCGUAGAUAUUCGCAAGAACACCAGUGGCGAAGGCGGCUCACUGGCCCGAUACUGACGCUGAGGUGCGAAAGCGUGGGGAGCAAACAGG